GUGUCAGCCGCCGCGGUAAAACCAGCACCUCAAGUGGUCAGGAGGAUUAUUGGGCCUAAAGCAUCCGUAGCCUGUUCUAUAAGUUUCCGGUUAAAUCCAUUAGCUCAACUAAUGGGCCGCCGAAAAUACUGUAGAACUAGGGAGUGGGAGAGGUAGACGGUAUUCGGUAGGAAGGGGUAAAAUCCUUUGAUCUAUUGAGGACCACCUGUGGCGAAGGCGGUCUACCAGAACACGUUCGACGGUGAGGGAUGAAAGCUGGGGGAGCAAACCGGAUUAGAUACCCGGGUAGUCCCAGCUGUAAACGAUGCAGACUCGGUGAUGCGCUGGCUUGUGGCCAGUGCAGUGCCGCAGGGAAGCCGUUAAGUUUGCCGCCUGGGAAGUACGUACGCAAGUAUGAAACUUAAAGGAAUUGGCGGGGGAGCACCACAAGGGGUGAAGCCUGCGGUUCAAUUGGAGUCAACGCCAGAAAUCUUACCCGAAGAGACAGCAGAAUGAAGGUCAAGCUGGAGACUUUACCAGACAAGCUGAGAAGUGGUGCAUGGCCGUCGCCAGCUCGUGCCGUGAGAUGUCCUGUUAAGUCAGGUAACGAGCGAGAUCCCUGCCUCUAGUUGCCACCAUUACUCUCAGGAGUAGUGGGGCGAAUUAGCGGGACCGCCGCAGUUAAUGCGGAGGAAGGAAGGGGCCACGGCAGGUCAGUAUGCCCUGAAACUUUGGGGCCACACGCGGGCUGCAAUGGUAGCGACAAUGGGUUCCGAAUCCGAAAGGAGGAGGUAAUCCUCAAACGCUACCACAGUUAUGAUUGAGGGCUGCAACUCGCCCUCAUGAAUAUGGAAUCCCUAGUAACUGCGUGUCAUUACCGCGCAGUGAAUACGUCCCUGCUCCUUGUACACACCGCCCGUC
This 900-nucleotide ribosomal RNA is filed under the name uncultured archaeon. RNAcentral's name for it is "bacterial SSU rRNA". It matches the Rfam family "Archaeal small subunit ribosomal RNA", at positions 455 to 1354 of the family's 1478-position model. The record is from RNAcentral.